Molecule: long non-coding RNA, 96 nt
Organism: Etheostoma spectabile (orangethroat darter)
Lineage: Eukaryota; Metazoa; Chordata; Actinopteri; Perciformes; Percidae
Exons: 3
Source: RefSeq, a predicted model, not a curated record
ACUGUGUUUCUGAAACUAAUGGAGGCAACUAACACGGUGAUCAAAGAUUGAUGAGGGGGCCCAGAGCAGCUGGUUAGAAAGGGUUUUCCUGCAUAG